AUCAUAUUGCCUUUAUUUAUCUAAGUAGAGGUGACAUUGGUGUUCUUAAUUUGUAUCUUCUACAUGUAAAAUGGCAACCCUUGUAUAAUAUAAUUAAUAUGCUUCAGUUCCUGUGAUAAAAUUAAAACAUGGAAGUAAUAUAAAUUGAAAUGUGAAAUUAAUCAUAAUAUUGAUAAGAUUAUCAUGUGUUAAUGAAAUUAUAGGCUUAGAAAUUAUAUAUCAUUUUUUUUUGAAAAAGCCAAAAUGAUAUAUAUUAACACAAAACAGCCUCCCCUGCACAAGACGUACCGAGGUAGACUAAAUAAUUACAAGAGAGUCAGAGAGAUACAAUCAAAAUAAAAUCAUACAAGGCCCAAACACAACAAU
This 366-nucleotide long non-coding RNA is filed under the name Trifolium pratense (red clover). RNAcentral's name for it is "long non-coding RNA (TPRA_LNC002483)". Lineage: Eukaryota; Viridiplantae; Streptophyta; Magnoliopsida; Fabales; Fabaceae. The record is from RNAcentral.